This 425-nucleotide ribosomal RNA is filed under the name uncultured bacterium. Its description in RNAcentral is "bacterial SSU rRNA". It matches the Rfam family "Bacterial small subunit ribosomal RNA", at positions 354 to 796 of the family's 1533-position model. The record is from RNAcentral.
GUAGGGAAUAUUAGUAAUGGGCGAAAGCCUGAACUAGCAACACCGCGUGUGCGAUGAAGGCCUUCGGGUUGUAAAGCACUUUUCGAGAGGAAGAGGAAGGACGGUACUCUCGGAAUAAGUCUCGGCUAACUACGUGCCAGCAGCCGCGGUAAAACGUAGGAGGCGAACGUUAUCCGGAUUUACUGGGCGUAAAGCGCGUGUAGGUGGUUUGGUAAGUAGGGCGUGAAAGCUCCUGGCUCAACUAGGAGAGGUCGUUCUAAACUGCCAGACUUGAGGAUGGUAGAGGGAGGUGGAAUUCCGGGUGUAGUAGUGAAAUGCGCAGAUAUUCGGAGGAACACCAGUGGCGAAAGCGGCCUCCUGGACCACACCUGACACUCAGACGCGAAAGCUAGGGUAGCAAACGGGAUUAGAAACCCUAGUAGUCC